UAAGCUUUAUAACUCACAGAUUCUUAAAAUAUUGUGAAUUACAUCACAGCUUUUAAAUAAAGAUGAUUUCAAAAACAUUGGUAAUUAUCAUUCUCAUCGUUACGCUUGAAGUUGCAGUAUCUAAUGGAGCUUUGAUUCAACCUAAAAAAAACAGAGCAGGACUCGCACGUUGUCUUCUUCCAGCCAAUAUUUGUGCCUUAUAUACAAAAGAUAAUGAAUUUAUUUGUCGAACAAAGCAAAACUGUGAAAAACCAUCAGAUUGUAAUUUGAGACGUCGUUGUGACACAAAGUAAAAUUUUUUCAGAAGAAGCAUUUAGAAGAAAAAAUAAAGAUAAAAUUUA
This is a long non-coding RNA of Hydra vulgaris (swiftwater hydra), 341 nucleotides long. RefSeq lists it as uncharacterized. NCBI's taxonomy places the organism in Eukaryota, Metazoa, Cnidaria, Hydrozoa, Anthoathecata, Hydridae. The record is from RefSeq and is a predicted model, not a curated record.